RNAcentral lists this ribosomal RNA (507 nucleotides) under uncultured Glomeromycotina. Its description in RNAcentral is "partial small subunit ribosomal RNA". It matches the Rfam family "Eukaryotic small subunit ribosomal RNA", at positions 591 to 1092 of the family's 1831-position model. The record is from RNAcentral. Lineage: Eukaryota; Fungi; Glomeromycota.
CCAAUAGCGUAUAUUAAAGUUGUUGCAGUUAAAAAGCUCGUAGUUGAAUUUCGGGAUUGACGUGAUGGUCAUGCCUUAAGGGGUAUGAACUGUUGCAGUUGAUUUCUCACCUUCUGGAGAAACUUGAUGUCCUUUAUUGGGUGUCUUGCGGAUCCAGGACCUUUACCUUGAAAAAAUUAGAGUGUUUAAAGCAGGCAUUUUUGCUCGAAUACAUUAGCAUGGAAUAAUAGAAUAGGACGGCAUGGUUCUAUUUUGUUGGUUUCUAGGAUCACCGUAAUGAUUAAUAGGGAUAGUUGGGGGCAUUAGUAUUCAAUUGUCAGAGGUGAAAUUCUUGGAUUUAUUGAAGACUAGCUACUGCGAAAGCAUUUGCCAAGGAUGUUUUCAUUAAUCAAGAACGAAAGUUAGGGGAUCGAAGACGAUCAGAUACCGUCGUAGUCUUAACCAUAAACUAUGCCGACUAGGAAUCAGACGAUGUUAAUUUUUUAAUGACUCGUUUGGCACCUUACG